UACAGUCUGUCACUACUGUAGCUAAAGCUGAAACUUUGGCCUAGGGCCAGUAACUCUCUUUUUUUUUUUUCUUUUUUUUUGUCAUUUGAUUAUAUCUGACCAGUCCCUAAAAAACAGAUCUUCCAAAGGGCAGGACUACUGCUCGCCCGUUUGUGGGGAGUUGGUUUUUCCGUCUUUCUUGCCCAGCCCAUUGGACCUUUCUCUGAACGAAAUCGCAGUCCUUCUGAAGAAGCAAGUAUGGUGCGUCCUCUCCUGGGUUGAAUACCCAGACACUGCAGUCCCGGAAGUGUCACUGAGGACAAUUAUGAUUCCAGCUUAAGUGUCCAGCUAAAACCAGCAAUGGAGGAUUCCCUGAGCGAUGGCUGCAGGGCACCGUUGCUGGCCCGAUUCAGUAACUUUAUAUCAACAUUCCUGUCUCCAGACGUGGGUUAAAUAUGUCUGCACCCGAACCAGCAAAAGGAAAAGAAAAACAAAAAAACAACAAACAAAAAAAGGCAUCCUCCUGCAUGUUUUCCCUGAGUCAUGUACCUUUUGUGUGUUUUGAUUGAUUUUUAUUAUGUGGGUUAAUCGCAACAUUGGGGAUAUAUUCUCCUUUUAUGUAUUCGUGAUCAACAAUGCAAAGAUGUAGUACAGAUUUUAAGCAUUAUGCAUAAUGGUUACAGGGGAAGAAUCAGCAUCCUUGCCUCCUGGCACUCUAACAUGUCCGCAACCAAAACCAACACAUUAAGAAAAAAGGUUUCCUGCUCCAUGCGUGUGUUUUCUUGAAUCAUCCAUUCUGAUCAGCUUUUAUGUGUGGGUGUUGGCAAGGUCAUGACAUUGGGGAUGUUUUCUACUUUUUCACAUUUGUAAUGAAUAACAUGUAGGUAUAUUAGGGACUCUAAGCCUUGAUGAUGCACAAUUUUUGAAUUAAACAUCAAAACAACACAAAACAUUUUGCGAUGGACCAGAGGAACCGUACUGCUCAUCUCUGUUUACAGACUCCACAGGUGGCUCUUGAAGGCCUAACCAUCUUUGAGAAGAAUGUCUUCCACUUACCACACCCAAACAGUUCAAACAGUUUCGAUGUGUUUAUAUUUUCUUUGCAUAUUCUUGACAGAGUUUUGCUAAGGCUGAGAGUCCCCUCUUUCCAGUAAGGUACUAAUGGCUAGGUAUUUUUAUUUGUUUUUAAGCUUUGCUAGUAUAAUUCUAUGUUAGCCAUGUAUGCCACAAUGUAUAGCGUAGCUGUAGAAAUGCAUUGUUUCCUUGUGGUAAGUGAUUGAGAUGCUGCCACGGAUUUGAGACACUGAUGAAUGGUGCUAUUUUGGAAUUUUUAAAAUCGGCUCCUUGGAAAGGUAGCUCCGAUGGUAUUUCUUUUAGUUUUAUUUUUCGUGUUUUAAGAGGGUUUGGGUUUCUUUGUUAGGUGGUCGUAACUUGGUGUGGAUUGACUUUGAUUUUCUGUUGCUUUCUGUGUGGCUUUCUCAAAAAAGAAAAAACGGCAGCUGCAAGAUCAAGCCUGAAAAAAAGUGGGGAUAGGAGCAAUCACAAAACUGCAGCCUCGGUACCAUUUCCCUUUAAUAGCUAGCUAUCCAAUAUAUUUACACUUUCUGCACUUUCUAAUUUUCAUCAUCAUUUUGCCUUCAUGCCUAUUACUGUACUGAAACAGGAGUGUGUGAGUGUUUGCCCUCUUGGAUCUAAUUGAACUAUUACAAAUGGAUAAUUGGUGAGAUACUCUAACCAAUCAAAUUCUGAGAGAGGGAGAAUGCAUGAUGUCUACUUGCAUGCUUACAUGACGUGUGCAUAAGUAUGAAAGGCAAAUUCAAGUUCUUUGGAAUUGGGCUACAGGUAUAUGCAACAACACAUGCUACAACACUGUAAACACUGGUUAUGGAGGUAUCUUGCAUACGGUUUACACCGAAGGGAUGUAAUGUAAAAAGAUUUUUCUCCUUUAUUUCAGUGAUCUGCUAAGAUUUUCAGUAAAUGAUAGACAAUAAGUGAAGUGCUGUUAUAGCUUUGCCACAGCAUGUAUUUAAAGAUGAUUGUUUUGGAGAUUGAUAUAUUCGUAUUUAUGUUGGCAUGGAAACAAAAAUUAAAUGCGUAGUUGCUAGCUACCUGUAUACUGUAAUCCAAUUAAUUUUAGGAUUUAAAUUCCAGUUUUGCUCAUUGUUAAACGUUGGUGGUUUUCACAUUGCAUCACAUCAGAAUGUUCAAAUCUAUCGGUUCCCCCUGUUCUAGUCAGUGUAGUUGCAAUUGUUGUGGCAUUCGUUUACAGUGAUUAAAAUCUUAAAAUUAUUAGAACAUGAGUUUCAUUUAAAAACUAGAUAUAUUAAAAAGGAAUGGUUAUGUUGUACAAUAAAUAAAUGGAGCACAUACAUAAGCCUUUUAAACAUUUCUUAUAAUGGUUUUUACACUAGGAUACUGCAUAGGUAUGGGUUUUUGUCCCACGAUGUCAUACUUCGGGAUAUCCAUACGAUUCCAUACAUUCGACAACAUGACUACAAGUGUGUAUAGUGCCCCAUAACUGUGCCUGAUAAACAAAACCUAAACUGUUAUAUCAGAUAUGUUACAAUAUCUGUCAAAGGACAUUACAGUCUCCAAAUAAACCGAUGCGUGGCAGGAAUAUUAACAAUAAAGGGACAAUCUUUUCUCACGUCUUAAAUCGGUUCUGCUAUUAUGCUUUAAUAAUGUACUUUUAACAAUGAAAAUACUCACAAAUUAGGAGAAAAUAAAAUAAAAACGAUGCUUAUUUUUCACAACUAAAUUUAUACUGAAGGAAUAUUGUUUAGCAGUUUUGUCUUUGCCUCCUUAAUCUGUACCCUCUACAAUUGUAAUAUGAUAACCAACUUGAAAGCCCACAUUAGGUUAUUGUAGGUUGUCUUAUUUUACCCUGGUACAGAACUUUCUAGCUGUUUUUUUAUUUUAUCCCUUUUUGUAUUUCCUAUUUGCUGCAUGUCUUGUCCUCUCAUUAAUUUUCUAUCUGAAAUUAAUACUUUUCCCUGUUAACGUAGCUGUUUUGUACAUAGCAAGUGACAGCAUUAAACAAGUUUGGCGUCAGUCUGUUUACUAUAGGUAUAUAUACUGUUGAUAUAGACUAUUAUAUUUACGACUGUAUAAUCGAUAAACACCAGCUUUGUAAGUAUUGCAAGUCCAGAUAUAUUUGUGCACUAAACAUGUUGUACAUUAUCUGGGGCUGUUGCUCCUAUAAUGUGAUUUGUAGGUGUAAAAAUGCAUGUGCAAAUGAACCGUACAAUUCAAGUUUUGUUGACUGAGGAGAACUGAUGUUCUUCUCUUUGUGAGGGUUUUUGUGACCAUUUGGGCUCAGUUGAUCAGGUUUUUAUUGUUAGUGGUCUGAAUUUGAGAUUUGUCUUUUGUGAAAUAGGUGUUGUUAGAACCCUGUCUGAGCAACUAAAAUGAUAAAGAAAACAGUUGUUUCAAAGCUUGCUCAUGUUUAUUAGUUCAAUUAAUUCAGCCUUAAAAUGAGCUGUUCAAUCAAUAGUUUGUUGCCCAUAGCUGUGGACUGAACAGUUGAGUGAAUCAAAACCAACCUGAAUCAAUUAAGACAUGUCUUGAGGCAUAUAUUAACUAACGUUAAGGUGUAUUUAAGUCAUGUUUACAUCAUUUUGAUAUAUUUUUAGUAAUCUAUAUAAUCUUAUAAUCUAUAGUAUAGUAAUCUGAAGUAAUCUUCAGUCACUAGAGACAUUUUUAGAUAUUACGUUUUAUCAUGUAAGUACCAUAUCCUAACAAUUAGAACAUGAAGGUAGAAACAUGUACAAAAAGAGGCUACAAUCAAAUUAAAUCCAUCAGUAUUCAGUUGUUAACUCAAGCAAGCUUAAUAAUAUUAAGAAAGUUGGACAUCAGGACUAAAUUUAGACAUCUAGCCACUUCAGUUUGUAUUGGUUUUAUAGCAGGUAACACUGCUAUAUAACUAUAUUUGAAGGUGUUGGAUUAAUGUGAUGGUAACAGCUUAAUGGUUGUGAUUUUAUUGAAAAGAAAUCACAUAAAAGGCUUGCAAUUAUCUCUGGACUUACAGUAUGUUAUUUCUAAUAGUAAUAAUGCACUACAAGUAUACCAUGUAUUUUGUCAAUUGCAGUAGUUCAAUAAAUAUGCAAGGUCUUAAA
Molecule: long non-coding RNA, 4094 nt
Organism: Conger conger (European conger)
Lineage: Eukaryota; Metazoa; Chordata; Actinopteri; Anguilliformes; Congridae
Exons: 4
Source: RefSeq, a predicted model, not a curated record